CUGGUUGAUCCUGCCAGUAGUCAUAUGCUUGUUUCAAGGACUAAGCCAUGCAUGCCUCAGAAUAUCUGCAUUUGCAGGAAUCUGCGCAUGGCUCAUUACAUCAGACGUAAUCUGCCGCAAAAACUGUGCGGUUCCGCCGCAUCAUCGGAUACCUUGGGGAAACCCCAAGCUAAUACGUGAACUACCGAGCGUUCUCCACCCAAUGCAGCGGGCAACCGUUGUAGCGAGACGUUCAGCGAAUGAAUGAAAGUAAAACCAACGCCAGCCUGGCUGGCAGCAACACCCAGAAGUGUUGACUCAAUUCAUUCUGCGGAAGCCGAGCAAUCGGCGUCUUUUGACGAACAACUGCCCUAUCAGCCAGUGAUGGCCGUGUAGUGGACUGCCAUGGCGUUGACGGGAGCGGGGGAUUAGGGUUCGAUUCCGGAGAGGGAGCCUGAGAAAUAGCUACCACUUCUACGGAGGGCAGCAGGCGCGCAAAUUGCCCAAUGUCGAUAAAAACGAUGAGGCAGCAAAAAGAAAUAGGUCUCCCAGCCGGCUUUCAGUCGGUUGGGAGGUUCAAUGGGAAAUAUUUACAUCUCUUAUCGAGUAACGAUUGGAGGGCAAGUCUGGU
RNAcentral lists this ribosomal RNA (610 nucleotides) under uncultured euglenozoan. RNAcentral's name for it is "bacterial SSU rRNA". It matches the Rfam family "Eukaryotic small subunit ribosomal RNA", at positions 4 to 565 of the family's 1831-position model. Lineage: Eukaryota; Euglenozoa. The record is from RNAcentral.